RNAcentral lists this ribosomal RNA (497 nucleotides) under uncultured bacterium. Its description in RNAcentral is "partial 16S ribosomal RNA". It matches the Rfam family "Bacterial small subunit ribosomal RNA", at positions 28 to 507 of the family's 1533-position model. The record is from RNAcentral.
GAUGAACGCUGGCGGCGUGCCUAAUACAUGCAAGUCGAGCGAACAGACGAGGAGCUUGCUCCUCUGAUGUUAGCGGCGGACGGGGGAGAAACACGUGGAUAACCUACCUAUAAGACUGGGAUAACUUCGGGAAACCGGAGCUAAUCCCGGAUAACAUGUUGAACCGCAUGGUUCAACAGUGAAAGACGGUCUUGCUGUCACUUCUCGAUGGAUCCGCGCCGCAUUAGCUAGUUGGUAAGGUAACGGCUUACCAAGGCAACGAUGCGUAGCCGACCUGAGAGGGUGAUCGGCCACACUGGAACUGAGACGCGGUCCAGACUCCUACGGGAGGCAGCAGUAGGGAAUCUUCCGCAAUGGGCGAAAGCCUGACGGAGCAGCGCCGCGUGAGUGAAGAAGGUCUUCGGAUCGUAAAACUCUGUUAUUAGGGAAGAACAAAUGUGUAAGUAACUAUGCACGUCUUGACGGUACCUAAUCAGAAAGCCACGGCUAACUACGUG